RNAcentral lists this long non-coding RNA (2326 nucleotides) under Homo sapiens (human). RNAcentral's name for it is "HSALNT0379734". Lineage: Eukaryota; Metazoa; Chordata; Mammalia; Primates; Hominidae. The record is from RNAcentral.
UUGGGCUCAAGUGAUCCUCCUGCCUCGGUCUCCCAAAGUACUGGGAUUAAAGGCAUGAGCUACUACAUCCAGCCAAAAGCUACAUUUUCAAGACUAGAUAAAAAGGCUACAAGGUUCAUCUGCAAGUUUCUUCAAAUGGUUGCAAUGCUUAGUGCAACCUCCAUCUCCUAGGCUCCAGUGAUCCUCCUGCCUCAGCCUCCCAAAGUGCUGGGAUUACAAGCAUGAGCUACUACAUCUGUCCAAAAGCUGCAUUUCCAAGACCAGGUUUUGGCAGUUACAGGUUGCAGGGUUCUCUGGGCCCAUCCAGGAGAUGAGAGAAAAAGAAAACUCAGGGCCUUGUACAGCGUCACCCCCAAAGUCCCGAGGUUCCUGGACAGCCUUUCUUCCUCUACACUUCCUAGAGUCCUCUUAUGUCUGUUAAAUUUUUUCCAGGGUGUCUAGUUGUAUUUAGAGGGCAGAUGCCACCUCGUCAUAGAAUGCCAGGGUCCACUCUCCAGGCAUUUGGAACGAGUUGCCACGAGGUCCUCGGGAGGGUGUGACAGUUCACACGCCCACCAGCAGCUUUCCACGUCUCCAUUUCCUCUGCCCCUGACAGCAUCUAAUGUUAUGAUUUUUGUUUGUAAAUUUGGCUUUUGGUUCCUUUAUGAGGGGAUUAAUUAAUACAGGCUGCUGGCUCCUUCCCACGAAUCCAAACCUUGGAGAUGCCAUCAAAGGGAUGACAGUUGAUGGAGCCCAGAACCUAAGAGGACCCCUGAGAGCCUUGCGGAGGCUGGGCAAACGUGGUGGAGUCUGGGACAGGAGGGGAAUCACAGUCUGAGUGGAGGAGGCCACACAGCACAACCGGGGCCAGACUGCAGCUCUCUGCUCCGGGGCCCACCUGGGGCUGUCAUCUGCCAGCCCUGCUUUCCUGUAGAAGAUCCCACCCGUACCAGCCCCAGGAAUCUAGGCAAGGCCAGAGCACCUCAGGAGCCUCCUGGAGUGAGGGCCACGACACCUGGGCAGGCUGGCUGGUGGCCCCUGGGCAGCCUUCCUCCCCAGCCCAAGGACAGCCAAUUACAGCACAGGGCAGCCCUGGACAGACAGCACCAGCUAGAAGGACAGGGGCGUUCCCUGCAGACCAGAGCAGCCCCCGGGGAUGAGCAAAGAGGGCCCCAGUCAUCCUGCCAGAGGCUCUGCCCCCAGGAGCCCCUGCCUGCCUCCCUGAAGCCCACAAGGAAGGUGUCAACUGGGGCCUAAGACGAAGGCAGUUGACCAUACCCAGGGAACAGAGAGCGGCCUGAGGAAACGAGACAGCGAGGGGAGUGAACUCCGGGAGGGAAAAACCCCAAGGUUUUUCCUUGGAGGAGGGAGCAGAUGAGCGGAUAAGACCGGUAAAUCCGUCACAUACCCUCAGGACGCAGGGAGAGCGCGGCUGGAAUUGGCAGUUAUGCAGAAGAUGCAGCCGGGAAUACUGGACUGGAACAUGCGGGCGCUUAAGUGAUGAACUUGGUGGGAAGGUUGGAGACCAGAAAAUGAAUGAGUGAGGCAGGUCAGGCUCUGAGCUCUUCUAGAAGGAGCUGAAGGGGUUGAGGAGGCAGAGGUGAGGGAGGAAAAAUAUUCAGUGCUUAAAAGAGGAAAAAUGAAUAGAUAAGAGGAAGUAUCUGAAAAAUGAUUAGGAAAUUUCCCCAAUUAAGAAAAGAUGCACAUCCUCAAACUGAAAGGGCCUGCAGAGUGUUAAUUACAUUUUAAAGUUAAAAUCUUAUGUGUACUUUCAAAGAAAAGCAUCUACAUUUUGAGUCAAAAUUGCUAAAAACUUCCAAAGAGAAAAAGCAGGUAACCCGCACAGGAACGGGAGUGGUGCUGACAUUAGAAUCGCGGCACAGACAACGGAUGCAAGAAGAAAGGGAGUGACAGCUUCAGACGCGAGAGGAAAGGACCCUGGAACCCAGGGCUGUGUCCUGCUCACCGCCAUGAAAUAUGGGCACGCAGGAAGCCAUCCUCAGUCCUAUCAGCCCCCUUGAGAGUCAACCCCAGAAACACUCUUGGAGAAAUAUUUCAGCAAGAAAAAGGAACCGGGGAGGAUGCUGCCAGGUCUAGGGAGGAGUGAUGCUUCCCCAGCGUGGAUGGUUCACUGCCAUCUAAGUAAGCAAUGACCUCCGCGUGUGCCGCACAGUCCAGCUUCCUCAGAGGCGGUGGUGGCCUGGUGGAGGAAUGUGGGCUGGCUGGGAGGCCACAGAGAAUUACUGUUUCCAUUAAAAGGAAAUGUGUUCUGGCCGGGAGCCCUGGCUCACACUGUAAUCCCAGCAUUUUGAGAGGCUCAGGCGGGUGGAUCGCUUGAGGUCAGGAG